UACAGAGGGUGCGAGCGUUGUUCGGAAUUACUGGGCGUAAAGCGCGCGCAGGCGGCCUUUUAAGUCUCGUGGUGAAAUGCCGGGGCUCAACCCCGUGCCCGCCGGAGAUACUGGGAGGCUGGAGACAUGUAGAGGCAAGCGGAAUUCCGGGUGUAGCGGUGGAAUGCGUAGAGAUCCGGAAGAACACCGGAGGCGAAGGCGGCUUGCUGGGCAUUGUCUGACGCUGAGGCGCGAAAGCGUGGGGAGCGAACAGG
Molecule: ribosomal RNA, 254 nt
Filed under: uncultured bacterium
Lineage: Bacteria
Description: partial 16S ribosomal RNA
Rfam family: Bacterial small subunit ribosomal RNA
Source: RNAcentral